This is a long non-coding RNA of Gasterosteus aculeatus aculeatus (three-spined stickleback), 578 nucleotides long. Lineage: Eukaryota; Metazoa; Chordata; Actinopteri; Perciformes; Gasterosteidae. The record is from Ensembl.
UGUUGGGUGUGUUUGAUCCCUGCCUUUACCUUCUGGACUGUGGCUUCUGUGCUCACGUGGUCCACAAUUACGGGUUUCCAGGAUACGAUGGCGGGUUCUCCAGGAGCUCCUGUUCUCGACAGACAGCUUAUUUAGUGAUGUGGAAUCUUUCAUUUACUCCUAUUUAUAGAGGAGGGAGAGGAAGUGGUGAUCUGCUGUUUAACCCCUAAUGAAGUCAGUGCCGGUGACCGACACCUGGACCGGAUUGCUCCUGAUCAGAAGCCACUGGAAGGAAGCCAGAGCCAUUAGCCUGCUGUCGUUGUGAGGGAGGAUGGGGAUCCAUCCUGUUAGCUGAUGCAAAAUGAACAGUGCCGGUUGGUCACAAAGCACAAUGCUGGGGGACCUUUGGGGAUGGAAGGUGAUGUGUUAGAAGUGUGUGGGUUUUUUUUCUUUUUCUUUUUUGCGCACGCACGCACAGGCGCCGUGACACAAAGCCCAACACAUCGACACAGCAGUGCUGCAGCAGUGGUCUGAUUCAUAGCUAAUGAAUAUUUACCAGCUGGCCUUGCAGUGUCUGAAACUGCAGCAGCUCACAGGGG